Molecule: long non-coding RNA, 559 nt
Filed under: Nicotiana benthamiana
Lineage: Eukaryota; Viridiplantae; Streptophyta; Magnoliopsida; Solanales; Solanaceae
Description: long non-coding RNA (NBEN_LNC004377)
Source: RNAcentral
GAAUAUGGAACAGCAGCAGCCAGCUAAAAACUAAUUUUUCAUAUUUCAUCAAAAUUUUUCUUGGACUUCUGAAGUUUUGUUUUUACUACUGAAAGCUUCUGGUUUAUCCGAAGAAAGGGGGUUGAGGAUUGAUUGUUGAAAGUUUCUGGUUUAAUGUAGUUAAGAGUUACUAUUCCAUUAAGGUUCUGGGGUUUAUUCAUUGUCCUCAUUGUGAGUCUGAUUGUUCUUGCUGCUGACCCCUACUUUCGUGGCUGCUUAGACUUGAUUUUGUUUCUUUCCACUUCCAGGUACAUAUCCCUGAAUUAAGCAUAUAAGAACAGAUCAGGGAUGUCUUAUUGAAGGGAAAUGAAGACUAUGCUUUUCUGUUUUCAGAAUGUUCUUCCUCUUUAAUUUGAUGCUUAGCUUGUACUGUCCAUUACCUUUGAUAGCAUGUUUUAUAUGAAGAUAGUUAGAUUACAUUAGCUUUGAGUUUUCUAUAUUCUUUUAGAAUAAUUCUGGAUGUUUGGAAAGUCUGUUUACAAGUGAGUUUCCUUAUUGAAUUUGCAGAUUUUUGUGUAGC